Pezoporus occidentalis (night parrot) is the source of this 7210-nucleotide long non-coding RNA. RefSeq lists it as uncharacterized. NCBI's taxonomy places the organism in Eukaryota, Metazoa, Chordata, Aves, Psittaciformes, Psittacidae. The record is from RefSeq and is a predicted model, not a curated record. The transcript is spliced from 7 exons.
CGCUCCCUAGAGAGUGGAGAGGAGAGAGGCAUCUCAGAGACAGACAGGAAAGGGUUAUAGCAUUGGCUUAGUUCCUGUGGGUGAUCUUGGACUAGUUGCUGCAUCUAUGGUGGCUGUGUUUCUCUGUGCAUUAAAAGGAGAGGCCUUUUAAUAGGAGAAUCAAAGUACAUCUAAAAUCCUGUGAUACUCAGCUAAUUUGUGGUGUGGUGAGGCUUCCAGGCCCGUGCUCUCUACCUAGUAUUUUUUUCACUUAAUUUUAGCAGACUUGUAUUGGGAAUAUCUGGUAUCUGCAUUAACAUACUUGAACCUGCUUCUAAAAUGUAUUUCUUGAGACUCAGGUAUUUACUGUUGGUAAGGAGGGACGGGAUUUAGCAUUUUCCCAGUCUUAAUGUACCUGUAGACUGAGCUUGUUUUCUAGGCCAUUAACAUAGUUCUGUCAGGGUGGUGGUGCAGUGUUAACCUGUGGGAUCUGUUGACCUACGCUUUUAGGAUGAUAGCUCUGGCAUUGCUGAGGCAAGUAUGACUGACUAGUUACACCUUUUAUGUGUUCUGGUUCUGCUCCUUCAGUACCAGCUGAAUACUGAUGUUCAGUAGGAUUAUGUUGUGACUUUGGUUUAAUAAAAUACCUGAGAUCAAAUCUAACUUCUCUGUGAAAGUGUUUUUCCCACUGCAGUUUGAGAGCUCUCUCAUGGAUGCUGCUGAUAAACUUCAGAUACUUUUUGUGCACCUCCUCUUCCAUUCUGGGCUUCUAAAGAAGCAGAAUCCAAAGUGAUUCAUGGCAGUGAGUAAUGUGUUUGCAGAGCCCUUUCGCUCACACAAGGUAGUUGUUAUUUAAGGAAGUUACAGUUAGUCCCUUAAAUACUGCAUGUAGCCUUGGUGCAUUGGUGGCUGAAGAGACAAAAAAGGAAAGCUGCAUUGUCUCAUAGUUUGGGGAGUACCAGGCUUUCUGAUCACCCCCUGUAGCACAUAAUUGGUACAAGGACUAGUACCUGAGAGCGUUAGGUGGAAAGAUGAAAAAGACUGUGCUCACAACAUGCCUUGUGACCUGCUAAAUGCCACAGAGGGUGGGAGUGAAGACUGCACAGGGUAGCCAAAGUGAAAUAAUGAAAAGGAGUAACACAACACUCCAUUUAUUAUACACCCGUAAUCUUCUGGCAUGUUGUAUUCCUCUCAUCUGAGCUUUAGGUGGACCUGUAACCUUGAUACUCCCAGUGAGGCAAUAACGGGUCUUUGUAAAACAGUGUUUUAUUCAUUCCUGUCUCAUCUAGAGUGGGAUUAUAAUGUCAGCCCUCUCCGGGGGGUGCACUGAGCAAAGGUCAGCACAGAUCCUCAGACUCCCGGAGUUUGUAAUUGGGAGAGCAGUGAGGCUGCAGGAUUCGGUGCCAAAGCAUUGUCCUGCUGAGAGGAAGGAGCAAUUUGUGAUGCAGCAUCUCCCAAGGUGUCUCCAGAGACAGUGGAAGUGACUGGAAGGAGGAUCGUUGGUCUUCCAAAUGCAACACGAUGUAUGAGUCAAAACGAUUUGGUCACAGAAUCGCAUCUACGCUGGGAAUACCAUGGGGCCGCUGGAAUUCUUUUCACGUAUCGCUGAUUCGUGACUGGAAGUUCAGAGCACAGGUUUGCCUUGAGAAAUUUUACUAGGAGCAGGCUUUCAGCUGCUGAUUAAACCCUGUAAUUAAACCUCACACUGUUCAAUUCUACUUAGAUGAGAUCUGCACGAGACAGGAUUUAAACAAUAGGAGCAGCCUGUUUGGGAGCCUUCCACACUAUUUCUGGUUUAGCUGGCAGUGUAUUAAUGAGGGAUGCAAAGCACUAGUGUGGGUACAGACUAUUAUUUUGAUUAAUGAGCAAAUAAAUCGUGCUCUUUGAAUAUGAUUAGGCCUAUGGUUCUCUGAUUUGCAUUCAGAGUCUGCACAAGCCUAGAUAAGGGAAGCCUGUGCUGGCUUGCACAAUUUCUAAACUACCCAGAGGAACUUUAACUUCCUUUUCUUUGCAUUUUGACCUGUUCCCUUACAUUGUAUGGCUUAAAGUUGCAUGUUACAACAUAAACCAAAGAGCAUUACCAAACUCUAGCUGAGUGCCUCUUAUGUCCUGAACAACUUUCUCUUGUUCUUUGGGCCAAAACAAUUCACAUGCUUCCAAGCAAAGCACUUUUCCUGCUUUGUAUUCUAGCUAAUGAGUGGUUCUUUGGUUAAUGGUUAUUUAAUCAAUGUUUUCUUUAAAGUCCAGCUAUGUUGGGUCUGAUGUAAGCCACCCACUGCCUUGUUUCAGAACUAAGUUUGUCAGGCUACAAUGAGUUGUUUUAGAAUAAGAUCAUGUAUUUAAAUGCAGCCCAGCAGUCACAUGGAAGCUCAUUCCAGAUUUAACUCUUGACUGCAAAGCCGUUACGUCAGUGGUGAGGCUGAGUGUGGAUGUUUUGAUGUGCUGUUUGAAGAGCAGUGACCUGUUCCAGAUCUGUUCCAGGAUGUGUUCACUCAGCAGUGCAUUUAGUCAUUCCUUCUAGAUGGAUUUUAUCACUCACCAUCUCAGUGUCUGCCUAAGAUUAUCUGGGAUAUCCACCUAAAUCCAUCCUCCUAGCAACAUGGGAUACGUAUCAGCUUCAUUAAUAACUUUCCAAUAAAGAAUAUAAACAAAGCUAAGGGCAUUUUCCAAGUAGCUGGCUGAGAGCUUGGAAAAUUUGCUGAUCAGGACACCCAGGCAAGCAGAGAGCUGGGCGUGCUGGUCAGUGAGAACCUGCUUAAUCCCAUCUAAACCAGAGCAGGGAGGACACCUCAGGACAGUGAAUUGCAAGCAUCCAUCCUGGCCAGGCUCAGCUGGGUCCCUGCUGUGUGACCCUUCCUGGCAGCUAGGGUUCAGACAAGGUGGUGUUACUCCUAGGAGUAACUGGACAGCCCUGCAGGGAGUGUUUCAGCAGUGAAAGAACAGGCAAGAACAAACCCCAUGUACCACAGGGCUGUGCACAUACUGCAGUGCUGUGUAACCUCACCCUGAGGUACAGCUUGGCAUGACUUUUACAAAGUGAAGUAUCGUGAUUAUGUUGUUUGGGUAGAUUAAAACUCAGAACAGUUGAGCAUCAAUAUGCAUCCCUGAAAUAGCUGUGUCAGCCACUACAACUAAGCCAACUGCUUUGGAAACUCAACUCUAGCUUUGAAAGGAUGGUUUCCUAGUAAUACUGAAUGCUUGGCCAGCCUGUUUUCCCAUCUUUGAAUGAUAGGUGGUGCACAAAUGUUAAUGUUAUCUCUAUUUUACCCAUUAUGGGUUUUGUUCCAGCAUUAAGGAAAGGUAAUGCUAAUGAAGUAUACCCAGGAGAUGAGUUCCAUUUUCAUAUUUUCUUACACCAGAAGCUGUACUGCUGUAAGUGAUGAACAUAAAUAUUGUAUUGCCUUGAAUUUGACCUCACAACCUGUUAAAAUACACAAAUACCAGAUAUUUCAGUGCCUGGGCUAUUUGCUUUUCUGCUUUUGUGGUUUGUUUUUUUUUUUUUGCAAUCAGUGAAGUUUUCUUGCCAUUCCCUUCUCCAGGUCUUAAGUUACUUGAUCUGAUAAACCAGUGUCCUCUUGCUUGCUCCUUGACAGCUAUUCUCAAGUAAACACAUUCAUGCUGGGCUCAUUGGUUAUAGGAAGCCUGCAGUGAUCAGCUGAGACAGGAACUAAGGUUUAUCCCUGCUAGAAGGAGCCUCAUUUACACCCCGAAGCGUAAAUAAAUGAGAGUACUUAAAUGUCAGGCAAUGUGCACAGAUGGGGCUUAUAUUUAUCUGGGACUGUGUUGAGCCAAAUGUUGACAAAACAGGGGUUAAUAUUCUUAAACAGAGUAGUUGGGUGCCCAGUAUUUUUCUUGUAAGCCAGCCUCAGCUGUAAGCAACAGCUUGGAAACUUGGCUGCGUGUCAUAAGGUGCCCCUAAUCCAAGGGCUAGAGCUGAAAUGCAGUGUAACUGAGCUGCAGUGCUUCCACGUUUGCAGUUCUGUGAUUUCUCCUAUUUGACUGGGUUCAGUGGCUGCAAAUAUGUACGGAAUUGGAGAAAUCCAACCCAUGAUGAUAGGGGGUAGGAACUGCUGGAAUUUUCUGUGCCUCUUCCCAGGUCCUUCAGGAUUCCUGCUGUACUUCCUCACUCUCACCUUUAACAGCCAGCAUGUUAGUAACGAGCUAAUGAUCAGAAGAGACAUGGUCACGGUUCCUACAGGAAUCCACAAGGUAUUUAUAAGCACUAAUGUGACUGUGGAAUUUCUUUUCUUGCCAUUUUCCUCUCCACUAAAGGCACCACAUCCAGCAUAAGUCUCACAGGUUGAAUUUCCCCCUUGCUCUCCUUUUUGCAGGCACUCAUCAUCCCUCCUGUUCCUGCUGCCGCCUUUCCAGAGUGGAAAGUCCAGUCAAAUUCUGCACCACCCCUGUCAUUUCAACAAAGAAUGUUACUGCAGGCUGACACUAAGAAGGGACUUUUCAUCCAUAACAAGCACACCGGUUCCCAUCCAGCUGCUGUGAAGCCACUACCCGAUUCCUCAGCAUUUCUAAUUGCAGGGGGAUGCAGGUGUUGAAGCAGUGACUGAGCAGGAGCCUGCAUGGUGGUGCCAUGAGUGGAGUGUGGUUGUGCAGCAGGGGACUGGCACUGGUGUCAGCAGCGUGCUGAGGAUGAAGCGCUGGGCACACUGCAGUAAGGUACUUACUGGGAUGGGUGUGGAGCCUGCCUUUCAUACAGGGAAGCGAGGAGGACUGUAAAGAUUUUAUUGACAUGAGGUUGGGAUGUUUGGGUUGCUGGGCACUGGAUCAAGCAGACUUCUUGAAGAGGCUGUGGUAACCUAGAAGGAUGCUCAGGAGUAAUGUAGCUUUCAUAUGAGCUCUAAAAAGAGGUUUAUGUGUUUGGAGAGGGGGCUGUGUGUGUGUCCUUCCCUUCAGGAUUAUGUGAAAUUCUUCCAAUUUCUCGCUCUAAACGUAAAUCAUUUGAAGUCUGUAGAAGUCCCAUGUGAGCCAAGCCUAACGAAAGCCUGAGUCAGGCUUUUCCUGGAAACUAAUCCUGCUGUGCCAUGGGGGUGAACGUCAGUGGAAGAUGUGUGGCUGUGCAGAUCUCCUUUUUCAGCCAGAGCAUAUUGGAAAUCAAACCUCAGUGUCUUGGGUUCAGAACCCACCAUCCUCGAGAUUUGGUAAAUAUGAAAUAUUAAGCUCUAUUUGAUUGAGUAUUCGAUCUGUACUUAGUGGAAAACCUGCUCUGAGUUUGAGGAGGAUAAAUUGUAUUCUAUGGGAAUCAAAUAGGUGUGAAUACCUGUGUUCAGGCCAAAUUUGGUCUUUGUAAUACAUGUAAUCAGCUCUAAAGAGGCUUUAGAGGGAUCUACACUAUCACAAAGUGAAUUAAAUUUAUGCCAUGGGGCGGAUAACUUAUUAUCAUAGAUAACAAAUAAUGUAUUACCAUAAAGAACUCAUUCUGGCUGCUCUUUUGAGCCCCCCUGCUGCUAACAACAGCCUCUGUGCUACAGCAUCCUUUGUGGCUCUGCAUUGGUAACAGCUCUGGGAUAGAGCAUCCCCCUCGCUCCCACACUGUUUGCUAGUGAUGAGAAGUUGUUUGUUUGAUGACUGACACAGCCGGUAUGGAGUGUAUUGUGACAACAGUGCAAUGAUGGAUCUGACAAGUCCCAAGACAUCCUAUCCGUGGAACAUGGAUCUUUCAUGGUCUGGCUUCACUGUGUUGGAGCAUGGAGGCCAGAAUGCCUGAGCAGAGCUGCAUGAAGGAAUGGGCAGGAGUGGACCUUGGAGACAACAACUUGCAGUCUGCCCAUAGCACAGGGAUGGAUCCGGACAAGGGCUGUGCGGCCACGAGCUCCUCCCAGCCUUGGUGUGACCACAGCGCUGAUGGGAAGCCAGGGCUACGAAAGCAGAGGCUGGUUUGGUAUAAUUAAGUAUUUUCUAGAUGACUGGCUUUGAAAUGUCAUUAAAGUUAUUUUCAUGCAAGGGGUUUUGCUAUAUCUGUUUAAAUAGCAAAUAUACCAAAUGAUGCUUUAAAUAUUAAUACAAGAGGGUGUUUUGCUGAAUUUAACUUUGCCAAUUGAUUUUAAGCUAUUAUGUGUAUUACAUGGAGGAGUGUUUGCUGGUUUUGCUGCCUGCAAGAGAAUGCAAGGAGCAAAGAGAAGCUCUUGGUGCACUUAUAGGUGGGCUGGAAGGAAGAGAAACUGAAAUGAAGGCAAGACCAAGUCACUGCAGUUGGGAAAUGGAGAAGGCAAAAGAUCAAAAAAGCCUAUUACUCUUAACUCCAGGUUUUCUUUUAGCUGCAGAUGAAAGUAGGAGGAAGGGGAAAGAGGACUCACUUAGGAAAGCUGCUCAAAUAUUCAUUCACCUACUUAAUUUGGAAAUGUGAUUAAAAGUUUGCAGGUUUCAACUAGAUCUAGUGUCACUUAAAAACUUAAAUGUGAUUUCAUUAAUACUCUCCCCCUUUCCAAAAGCAGAGGGCACUGUAAAGACUUGCUUUAGCCCUCCUGGCUUCACUGGGUGGCUCAGCUCAUCCCUGUUCCUGGGGCUUUGCCACACUGAUUGGGAAAGGACAGGAUUGAGUCUCCAGCCCAGCUAUCAGCUAUCAUAUUCUUUUUAGGAAGAAGUAAUUUAUGUCUUCCUGUCCUUUGGCAUGUUGCUUUCUGGAAGACACAGACGAGGCACCACUGUAAAUGAGUUCAGUUAUAUAAAGCCCUGAAAUACACAGGACUCUUCUCUCUCUUUAAGUAGCUUAUGAUCUUUCCAGUGCUCUUUGCAGUGCUCCUGCUUUAUAGUCCUGUUCCUGCUUUAUAGUCCUGCUCCUGCUUUAUAGCCCUGCUCACAGCUGCAUCCAUUCAAUGGCCUGUUCUUGCGCAGCUUUUACUUGGGAGGUUACAGCAAUGUGCUUGCAGCAGCAGCCCUAUGAAAAUGUGUCCUGCAGCCACAAGGGAGGAAUAAUGGAUGGGCUCAGAAUGACAGAACAAGAUGUAUGACAACGUUUCAAACAGGAAGGGCCCAAACCCCAACAAUUGACCUUCCUUACCUUGGAGUUGUGUGUGAAGCGUAUUGGAGGAGCCUGUUGUGGGGAUGCAUCCCCAAAUGAGUGUGUGUGUACUGUACAGGGGCUGAAGGGACCUUUGGGCUCAGAACCCACACAGCCCAUUCACUCCUAACUGGCACUGAGCCUCGCUGCCCGUCCCCAUCCCUUUGGAGCCAGAGCACAGGCUGUGGGCUCCAGACAGGAUCCCACAGGAUCCCAAGC